AUUGAACGCUGGCGGCAUGCCUUACACAUGCAAGUCGAACGGCAGCACGGACUUCGGUCUGGUGGCGAGUGGCGAACGGGUGAGUAAUGUAUCGGAACGUACCUUUCAGUGGGGGAUAACGUAGCGAAGGUUACGCUAAUACCGCAUAUUCUGUGAGCAGGAAAGCAGGGGAUCGCAAGACCUUGCGCUGAUUGAGCGGCCGAUAUCAGAUUAGGUAGUUGGUGGGGUAAAGGCUCACCAAGCCAACGAUCUGUAGCUGGUCUGAGAGGACGACCAGCCACACUGGAACUGAGACACGGUCCAGACUCCUACGGGAGGCAGCAGUGGGGAAUUUUGGACAAUGGGGGAAACCCUGAUCCAGCCAUGCCGCGUGAGUGAAGAAGGCC
This 386-nucleotide ribosomal RNA is filed under the name uncultured bacterium. RNAcentral describes it as "bacterial SSU rRNA". It matches the Rfam family "Bacterial small subunit ribosomal RNA", at positions 30 to 416 of the family's 1533-position model. The record is from RNAcentral.